UAUAUAUAUCUCAGACAAGGGCUUUUUCAAUGAUGGCCAGAAUUUGUUGUAUCUACCAAUGUAAUUUGUCACAUAAUGAACAGAAACUGAUGAGUAUUAAUAGGCAGAUGAAACAUAUUUAAUAAUAUUCAAUGUCUAUUAGUGACUANAAGUCUGGUCAUUCAGUUUAAAUGAAUGGUUAUACUGUUUUUAAUGAAAUAAGCCAUUUUCUUGUUGUUUUCAGUAUGACAUAGUAGUGUUUCUUCUAGUUUCCCCAGCCUUUAUCAACUUAUUGUACGGUAAAUUAUAAAUGGUUUUUUCAUAACUUGUGUUUUAUAAUAUGUAAUUAUUCAUGAAAAGAAAGGGCUCAGACAAAUUAGGAUGUGAUUUUGGUUGGUUUUAAAUUGCUUUUCUGUGGUGAUAAAGAAUUACUAUUAAGUAAGUUUUAGAUUCUGAAAUUUAGGAUGUUUUUAUUUGACUUAAAUGAAGAAAUGGGUUUUUCCUUCUCUACCACCCCCACCAUUCACAUUUUCCACAUUAACACUAUUAAGAAUAAUCAAUCUCCACAGCCCCUUAUUUUAUUAUUUCCAAUAAUUCCAAGUUCAUGUAGAACUGAUAAUGAAGCAAGCCCAAUGUAUAAUAACAGGCAGACAGCUCCCAACCUUCUGUCUAAUUUCCAACCAUUAAAGUGAACUGCUAAAAAAAGAAAAAUAAUGGAAAUGUUAAGAGAAAUGGUUAUAUAAAUGAGUCCUUUGCUGUUUACUUCUACAGGAGCUGAUUCAUUUAUAAAAGCAGUUUUAAUAAGCCAGGGAACACCUAGGCAUAGCAUAUCAAACACAUUGGAUCCUACAAUGUUAGACAUAGCCAUGUCUCCUUUACCUGCAAAAGAAAAGCAUGUUGUUAAAAUGUGCAUAUAAUACUGUUUUAUUAAUAAUCUUCAUAAGAAAAAAACACUGGAUACUUUUUUGUUGUUGGUAGUUUUGGAAAAUUGUUAGAGCAAGUCUUAUUGAAUUUGUAUUUUUAAAUUUUUCUUGGGUUAGUAUUUAAGUUUAACAUUUAUUUAAUAAUGAUUAUCUUUAUUUAUUAAACCAUUUUCAAUAAGAAAAAAAGGAAAAUUUAGAAGAAUUUGAGUAAAAAAGUAAAACUCAAUACACUCUUUGAGAAAAUGGAUGUUUAUUGUCUUCAUAUGAAUCCAAAGAAUCUACAGAAAAAAAACUUUUAUAAUUAUUAAGACAGCUUGAAAAGUAUCUGGCUAUAAGAUCAACAUACUAAAUUUGACGUUUUUAUCUGUCAAUUAAUGUUUAACAUGCUAAUUACCUUAAAUUAAUAAAUUCAGUUCUAAUCCAAUGAGAGUUAUUUGGAAAACCUGUGUUGUUUUGUUCUUAUUGUUACAUUGAUAACUUUAUGAAAAACUGAAUAGAACAUAAUUUUAAAGGUUCCAUAUCCAUCAUCUUGCUCCCCACUUCCAUCUUCACUGGGAAAUUCUGCAAAAUUUUUUUCUGGGUCUGCUGUUUUUGGCUUCUACUAUUAACCACAUCUUUAUUUCCAAAUCUGGUAUUGCAACUUUUUGAUUAUUUUAGAAUUAGCCUCAAGAGAAUGAUGUCUCCUAUUGAUCCAUUGCCAAAGCUGUCACUUUUGUCAAUUUUCUGAUAGUCUUUUCCUGGAUAGAUUUUGAUCCUCCAGUUAUAAGUUGCUUAUAUAUCCUUCAGAGUACUCAUUACAUGUCUGUAUUUAUUUCAUCACAUUUUGAAUAAAAGUUCUGCUCAAUUUGGCAUCUUCUGCUCAUUCCUCCUAGUGACUAUAUUCUUUCUUUUUUUCUGACAAAAUCUUGAUUUUACUCAAAAUUCGGACAUCUUAUAUCUGUACUUGCUCCAAACUUCAUUUAAUAGAAUCAGGAAAGUUUUGGAAGAACAUUAAAUAGGGUCUGUCAGAAUUAUGUAAAAAAUAAUUUUAUACAAAAUUGUGAUGUAGUUCAAAACCUACUCAUGUCUAAAAAUAUUACUAACAAAAAGUUG
Molecule: long non-coding RNA, 1994 nt
Filed under: Marmota monax (woodchuck)
Lineage: Eukaryota; Metazoa; Chordata; Mammalia; Rodentia; Sciuridae
Source: RNAcentral